CGAAGUCGAAAACAGGUUUAAGCCAAGUUUGAAUCAUUGCCUCUGUUUGCUAGUACUGGGAGAAAACGUCGUCACAGACGAGGUCUGGAUGUUAAAACAAACUCUGGAGCUGCUUUUUUGUUGAACAAGAGUGAGACUGGACACCGAACACACCUGCAGCGCGAAGGUUUACUCAUUCAGCUGCUGCAGCCUGGACAGAAACACCAUCUCUCACCUUACAGACCAAACAGAUGUCACCACUUUGUCCAUGAUCACAGACAGUCUUUGUGUAAUGAAGAAGUUCUUUGAAACCAGGACUGAGGCCUCCAGGAUUCAAGCUUCAACCAUUAAAUCACAGAGAGAAGAGACAGACAUCAAGAUGUUUCGAGAAGGUCUUCAGCUGCUGUCGUCUUCUCCUGGAGAGACAAGAACACAUGUUCUGUUCAUCAUUUCAUUUUGGUAUUUUGCUAUUUCAAAUAGUGCAAUAUCAGUACUCCAAUUUAUUACUGUGUACAUAGUCCUGUUUAUACUGUUCAUAUUGUUAUACAUUAUCUUAUAUCUUGUCUUGUUUGUAUUAUGCCUUUUUCUAUUUUUGCUGCUGCAACACUGAAUUAUCUUACUCAAAUAAAUAUUUCUGAA
Molecule: long non-coding RNA, 618 nt
Organism: Lates calcarifer (barramundi perch)
Lineage: Eukaryota; Metazoa; Chordata; Actinopteri; Centropomidae
Exons: 5
Source: RefSeq, a predicted model, not a curated record